UCCUGCAUCCGAAAGUGGUCGUGGACUGCCUGUGUCCCGGUCAUUGAUAGUGCAGGGAAAGGAAUGUGGAGAGAUGUUUCCCCGUGUUUGGAGGGCUUCCUUGUCCCUUCUGAACCCUGGAGCUUUCCCACA
Molecule: small nucleolar RNA, 132 nt
Organism: Dipodomys ordii (Ord's kangaroo rat)
Lineage: Eukaryota; Metazoa; Chordata; Mammalia; Rodentia; Heteromyidae
Gene: SNORA71
Rfam family: Small nucleolar RNA SNORA71
About the family: The members of this family belong to the H/ACA class of snoRNAs which bind a number of proteins (including dyskerin, Gar1p and Nop10p) to form snoRNP complexes. This class of snoRNAs are thought to guide the sites of modification of uridines to pseudouridines by forming direct base pairing interactions with substrate RNAs.
Source: Ensembl